AUUGAACGCUGGCGGCAGGCUUAACACAUGCAAGUCGAGCGAGCAGAGGACGGGUGAGUAGUGUCUUGGAAAAUGCCUGAUGGAGCGGGAUAACUACUGGAAACGGUAGCUAAAACCGCAUACAAUCCGAUGUGCCAGGACUGGAUUAGCUAGUUGGUGGGGUAAUGGCUCCCCUGGGCGACGAUCCCUAGCUGGUCUGAGAGGCUGACCAGCCACACUGGAACUGAGACACGGUCCAGACUCCUACGGGAGGCAGCAGUGGGGAAUAUUCCACAAUGGGCGAAAGCCUGAUGCAGCCAUGCCGCGUGUAUGAAGAAGGCCUUCGGGUUGUAAAGUACUUUCAGCGGGGAGGCGUUACCCGCAGAAGAAGCACCGGCUAACUCCGUGCCAGCAGCCGCGGUAAUAC
Molecule: ribosomal RNA, 406 nt
Filed under: uncultured bacterium
Lineage: Bacteria
Description: partial 16S ribosomal RNA
Rfam family: Bacterial small subunit ribosomal RNA
Source: RNAcentral